GGAUGUGUUGUGAAUACACAGGACACUCUGCAAAGGUGUUUUUAGUACUUAAUGUGCUCGCGUCUU
RNAcentral lists this transfer RNA (66 nucleotides) under Glypthelmins quieta. RNAcentral's name for it is "tRNA-Cys". The record is from RNAcentral. Lineage: Eukaryota; Metazoa; Platyhelminthes; Trematoda; Plagiorchiida; Plagiorchiidae.